UUUCCCUCUUCCUUCGACUUC
RNAcentral lists this unclassified non-coding RNA (21 nucleotides) under Mus musculus (house mouse). RNAcentral's name for it is "oocyte_clustered_small_RNA4367". Lineage: Eukaryota; Metazoa; Chordata; Mammalia; Rodentia; Muridae. The record is from RNAcentral.